Molecule: ribosomal RNA, 492 nt
Filed under: uncultured bacterium
Lineage: Bacteria
Description: partial 16S ribosomal RNA
Rfam family: Bacterial small subunit ribosomal RNA
Source: RNAcentral
AGUGAACGCUGGCGGUAGGCCUAACACAUGCAAGUCGAACGGCAGCACAGUAAGAGCUUGCUCUUACGGGUGGCGAGUGGCGGACGGGUGAGGAAUACAUCGGAAUCUACUUUUUCGUGGGGGAUAACGUAGGGAAACUUACGCUAAUACCGCAUACGACCUACGGGUGAAAGCAGGGGAUCUUCGGACCUUGCGCGAUUGAAUGAGCCGAUGUCGGAUUAGCUAGUUGGCGGGGUAAAGGCCCACCAAGGCGACGAUCCGUAGCUGGUCUGAGAGGAUGAGCGGCCACACUGGAAAAGAGAGAAGGACCAGAGCACUACGGAAGGAAGCAGUGGGGAAGAUUGGAGAAUGGGCGCAAGCCUGAGCAAGCCAUGGAGCGGGGGGGAAGAAGGCAUUCGGGUUGUAAAGGCCUUUUGUUGGGAAAGAAAAGCAGCAGGCGAAUAACGCGAUGCUCUGACGGUAGCUAAAGAAUAAGCAACGGCUAACUUAGUG